Long non-coding RNA from Etheostoma spectabile (orangethroat darter), 106 nucleotides. RefSeq lists it as uncharacterized. The transcript is spliced from 3 exons. The record is from RefSeq and is a predicted model, not a curated record. NCBI's taxonomy places the organism in Eukaryota, Metazoa, Chordata, Actinopteri, Perciformes, Percidae.
CACACAUGGGCUACCAUUACCACAGUUUCCCCCACUCAUCUGUCUCUUUCUAUCGGAGAGAGAGAGCCGAGAGGAGAAGGAUCGCUUUGUGCAUAGAAAGAUGUGU